GGAAUAUUGGACAAUGGGUGAAAGCCUGAUCCAGCCAUCCCGCGUGAAGGAUGACGGUCCUAUGGAUUGUAAACUUCUUUUGUAUAGGGAUAAACCUAGAUACGUGUAUCUAGCUGAAGGUACUAUACGAAUAAGCACCGGCUAACUCCGUGCCAGCAGCCGCGGUAAUACGGAGGGUGCAAGCGUUAUCCGGAUUUAUUGGGUUUAAAGGGUCCGUAGGCGGACCGAUAAGUCAGUGGUGAAAUCUCAUAGCUUAACUAUGAAACUGCCAUUGAUACUGUCGGUCUUGAGUAAAUUAGAGGUAGCUGGAAUAAGUAGUGUAGCGGUGAAAUGCAUAGAUAUUACUUAGAACACCAAUUGCGAAGGCAGGUUACCAUGAUUUAACUGACGCUGAGGGACGAAAGCGUGGGUAGCGAACAGGAUUAGAUACCCUUG
RNAcentral lists this ribosomal RNA (435 nucleotides) under uncultured Chryseobacterium sp. RNAcentral describes it as "bacterial SSU rRNA". It matches the Rfam family "Bacterial small subunit ribosomal RNA", at positions 358 to 790 of the family's 1533-position model. Lineage: Bacteria; Pseudomonadati; Bacteroidota; Flavobacteriia; Flavobacteriales; Weeksellaceae. The record is from RNAcentral.